This is a long non-coding RNA of Rosa chinensis, 266 nucleotides long. RefSeq lists it as uncharacterized. The record is from RefSeq and is a predicted model, not a curated record. The transcript has 3 exons. NCBI's taxonomy places the organism in Eukaryota, Viridiplantae, Streptophyta, Magnoliopsida, Rosales, Rosaceae.
AAACAUUGGGUGCUGACUAUUGCGGAUCCCGAACAAGAAAUUGUUUAUUUUAUGGAUCCCAUGAAGAGGCGGUUACCCACCGGAGAAUGGGUUUCCAUUGUUGAUAGUGCAAUAUCUAUGUAUAAUGCACACAAGGGUAGGAAAGGCCGAAGUUCACCUAUAUGGAAAAAUUUGUCGGGUAUUCCUCCUCAACCGAACAACAAGGAGUGCGGCUACUUUGUCAUGUGAUACAUGAGAGACAUCAUUGAGGAUAAAGACUUUUCAUU